RNAcentral lists this non-coding RNA (28 nucleotides) under Rattus norvegicus (Norway rat). The record is from RNAcentral. Lineage: Eukaryota; Metazoa; Chordata; Mammalia; Rodentia; Muridae.
UAAAAGUUUUAACAGGCCAACACUGCCA